Small nucleolar RNA from Mesocricetus auratus (golden hamster), 118 nucleotides. Its record names the gene SNORA70. It matches the Rfam family "Small nucleolar RNA SNORA70". From Rfam's summary of the family: snoRNA U70 seems to be exclusive to mammals and is a member of the H/ACA class of snoRNA which contain H (ANANNA) and ACA box motifs. H/ACA box snoRNAs are involved in the conversion of uridines to pseudouridines (5-ribosyluracil) a constituent of structural RNAs (transfer, ribosomal, small nuclear, and small nucleolar). NCBI's taxonomy places the organism in Eukaryota, Metazoa, Chordata, Mammalia, Rodentia, Cricetidae. The record is from Ensembl.
CAGGGGCCAACUAUGCCAACUAAAUCCUUUUCCCCUGUGGGUUACAAACAGCAGCUUCUUGGUAGCCUAUAUGGCCUGUUGCCUAUGUGAGUUGCCCUAAGGCACCUUGGAGAUGAUU